Pelobates cultripes (western spadefoot toad) is the source of this 1237-nucleotide non-coding RNA. NCBI's taxonomy places the organism in Eukaryota, Metazoa, Chordata, Amphibia, Anura, Pelobatidae. The record is from the annotation of a GenBank genome assembly.
CCAUCAGUUAAUCAUGCUUUUCAAACAGGUAAUCCAUUACAAAUUUUAAUGAAAGUUUUCCGUGACCCAGGAACAUGUUUUGAACAGGUAAUCCCUCCUACAUUUACUUAAGUGAAAAAAUAAAAUUACAAAACAUAUAACAGAAGUGCAGGCUAUUCAGGUGUAUUCAAAAUACUUAUCACAAAUGUAAUGAUAUUAUUGAUAACAAAGGCCUGUAUUGUUCAUUCUUCACUCUGUAGAAAGAGAAUCACCAAAUUGUGUUCCCUCUGAGCAAUUUGGCACAAAAACAUACAAUGUUUCUAAGUCACUUUGGUAGAUUCUUUCCUUUGACACUUUCAUCCUUCCUCUAUUUCCUCAAUUUUUUUUCUAAAACCUUUUUUUCCUCAGGUACUGCACAAAACACAGACAACUUUUUCUUAUUGGGAAGAACCCGCCCAUUCCCAAGAUCAUUUUCCUUUAUUAUCAACACAUUUCUUUGUCCAUUGAGUUUUGAGGAGGUUAUACACAAUAUAGACAAGUUGACCACAGAGAGGAGAAUUCGGAGGCAUUGGAAAUGGUUGAGAAGAGGAGGAGAGAUUAGAAUUGCCCUCCUGUGUGAGAAUUCUGGCCUACGUGCCUAUACGAUGGCAAGUGAAUCCAACACUAUAACAUCAUGGAAAGAAUUAGAAAGAAGUCUGCACCAGGACAAUAGGAUCUGGCAAUAGAUUAAAAAAAAGAAAAAAAAAAAAGAUAUUUGGAGAAGAAACAGAUGAGUGGAAGAAACAAUGGAGGAUCAAUAUAAGAGCCUAAUAAACGAACAAAAUAAAAAAAUAAAACACCUAAUGAAGCCACCUUAAGAAAAGAUUAGUAAAGUCAUGUUCUAUUGUAUUUAGUUCCUUUUGAAAACUCUAGAUAUGAUUUUCUUUAUCCUGAUAUAAUUUUUGUAACUGUAUCGGUGCUUACAAUGAACAGUCUAGAGGGAAAAUUAUUGUCAGGUCUAGCCUUUUCCCACUACCUUACAAUUUAAUGCUAUAUCUACUAAUAUCACAGUGUCUUUUCUCUGUCUUUAUAGAAAUCUCGUACAGGAGCAUUGACAAAAAAAAUGUCAGAUCCGGAUCGGAUCUAAAGAUUUUGACAUAGCGGUCACAUGUUUUACAAUGCAUUGUUAUAGAAUGCUUAUUAAAAAAACGUUAACAUAGAUACUAUAUUGGUGAAAGUGGUUGAGCAAACAUUUUGUUGUUUUGGUUUUUUUCUUCCU